Long non-coding RNA from Lepisosteus oculatus (spotted gar), 1333 nucleotides. RefSeq lists it as uncharacterized. The record is from RefSeq and is a predicted model, not a curated record. Lineage: Eukaryota; Metazoa; Chordata; Actinopteri; Semionotiformes; Lepisosteidae.
GCUCACUCAGGGGUGUGCGCAUGUGUAUUUUACUCGCACAUGUCGUGAAAUGAACUUGCCUGGAGGUGAAAUAUCCUUUUUUUCCCCAUUCAGGCCGAAGGAAGUUUGGUGGGGGUUAUUUACAGGCUUCUACUAGGUACAUCUGGAUGACUCACAUUAAGUGAUUACCAGGAUGGAUUUGAGACGUUUCUGGAGCUCAGGAAACUUGGGGUUACUAAUGCCAAGCUCUAAUGCCAAGAGCUCUUGUACGACUGGAGGAUCAGACAUUCUUAAUCAAGAAACGUUCAUGAAGAUGACUUGUGUAUUUGAUAGUCAAGAACAUCCAGACUGAGAUUUACUUAAGCAGAAAUUGGAAUGUCAUUCUUUAUUGUAAGACUGUCCAACUUGGUGUCCUCACCUUAGAAGACCCAUGAUAUUCAGAUACCAUCUUUUGUUUUUAGAACCACUGUUCCUGAGAUAUACAGCAGAAUGUAAUUGAGGCUUCAGUUACUGCCUAAAGUUCUUCAAGAAUGUUUUCAAGGACAGAAGGACAGCUCUUGGAAGUUAACGGAGAUUAUCAUGAAGACCUACAUGGAGCUCUGAAAAUGUGUAUGUGUAAAAAAAAAAAAAGAGUACUAACAAAUGCAAAGAACGACUCCCCUACACUAAAAGAAUUGUACUAACGGAGACGUGCACAUUGAAGUUGUUCAUCCAUAUAUCUCCAGUGAUAAAUACUUGAAUUAGAAGUAACACAUCUAAACAACGUCUAGUAUUGUCUGCCUCUGUUUCUGUGUUAUGAACUAUGUAGAAUUUCUUGGUGACCAAUAAAAGGAUCACAGACUAUAGAAUGCAAGCAGUAGUAAAUUACAGUGCUUUUUUUGUACCUGAAGUCAACAUUUAAAUGACCAUGUAGAUGAGUCUGACAUUGUACAUUUCAUAUCCUGCAUUGGUAAAGGCUUUUGUAGUUGUGUUGCUGCAGUUCUGUUUUUCUGCUGUUGUAUCCUUUUCUGUUUUUAAAUGUUUAAUCUUCCUGAUUUAUGGAGUUUUGAAACUACUUAAUUUUAAUUUCAUGAUGUAGUUUGUAAAAUAUUUACAUAACUUAAAAGGCAAUACAGUGAAAUUGGUGCCUGAGAGUUCACUGUAUCCAUAAUUAUAUCUUACUGGUUGUUUUCGUUUUUGAGCAUUUUCUUCAUUGUGAAGUAUUUAAAUAUUGCAUGAACAUAGUUAUACUAUAAUCACCACAAUUUUAAAAUGUUAUAGUUUCAUCUGAGUACAGUAAGUUGCUACAUGAUUAAAGAUUUUGCACAAUUGUUUAUGCUGUUUCUGCAACCGAUAAAGGACAGUUUUGAACAUA